UGGGGGGUGUGGUGGGGAGAUGGGGCUGGAAGGAGAAGCAGGGUGAGGGAGGCAUAGAGGAUCCACUGCCAUCUUCCAUUGGUGAUCCCUCCUCUUCUCUCUCCCUCCCUCCCAUCCGUCUAUGUAUCCCUUCCUGCAAUACUCUUGCAUUGCACACUUAUAUGUACAAAGCACUAGGAGAGCCGUACCAUCCCUAUGCUCAACAAAGCUGGGUCAAGCAGUUAAGACGGCACAUAGGUCACUGUGAAACCAGUCGGUCCAGGCUCAGCAUUACUUGUCCAGUGGCUCCCCACUUUCUGACACAGGGGUCCCAGACUUUCUGGACAGUCUAUAUUUUCUCAGGGAGUCUUGUGUGCCCACCAUUGUGGGCCCCAGCGUCUAUGCCUUGAUGUCCCAGCCUGACCUCACCACCACCCUGAUUGGCCCUAAGCUACAUCUCCAGGCCCCUUUCCCUGACACAUUUCCCUUGUCUUCGCACUCAGAAGCUAUACAGCGGCACCGCCGGAACCUGGCUGAGUGGUUCAGCCGGCUGCCCAGGGAGGAGCGCCAGUUUGGCCCGACCUUUGCCCUAGACACGGUCCACGUUGACCCUGUGAUCCGCGAGAGCACCCCCGAUGAGCUACUUCGCCCACCUGCGGAGCUGGCCCUGGAGCAUCAGCCACCCCAGGCCGGGCACCCCCCACUGGCCCUGUCUCAGCUCUUUAACCCAGAUGCCUGUGGGCGCCAGGUGCAGACAGUGGUGCUGUAUGGGACAGUGGGCACAGGCAAGAGCACGCUGGUGCGCAAGAUGGUUCUGGACUGGUGUUACGGGCGGCUGCCGGCCUUCGAGCUGCUCAUCCCCUUCUCCUGUGAGGACCUGUCAUCCCUGGGCCCUGCCCCAGCCUCCUUGUGCCAACUUGUGGCCCAGCACUACACGCCCCUGAAGGAGGUUCUGCCCCUGAUGGCUGCUGCUGGGUCCCACCUCCUCUUUGUGCUCCAUGGCUUAGAGCAUCUCAACCUCGACUUCCGGCUGGCAGGCACAGGACUUUGUAGUGACCCGGAGGAACCACAGGAACCAGCUGCUAUCAUCGUCAACCUGCUGCGCAAAUACAUGCUGCCUCAGGCCAGCAUUCUGGUGACCACUCGGCCCUCUGCCAUUGGCCGUAUCCCCAGCAAGUACGUGGGCCGCUAUGGUGAGAUCUGUGGUUUCUCUGAUACCAACCUGCAGAAGCUCUACUUCCAGCUCCGCCUCAACCAGCCGGACUGCGGGUGUGCCGCUGGGGGUUCAGGUGUUUCCGCCACACCAGCUCAGCGCGACAACCUGGUGCAGAUGCUCUCCCGGAACCUGGAGGGGCACCACCAGAUAGCCGCUGCCUGCUUCCUGCCGUCCUACUGCUGGCUCGUUUGUGCCACCUUGCACUUCCUGCAUGCCCCCACGCCUGCUGGGCAGACCCUUACAAGCAUCUAUACCAGCUUCCUGCGCCUCAACUUCAGCGGGGAAACCCUGGACAGCACUGACCCCUCCAAUUUGUCCCUGAUGGCCUAUGCAGCCCGAACCAUGGGCAAGUUGGCCUAUGAGGGGGUGUCCUCCCGCAAGACCUACUUCUCUGAAGAGGAUGUCUGUGGCUGCCUGGAGGCUGGCAUCAAGACGGAGGAGGAGUUUCAGCUGCUGCACAUCUUCCGCCGGGAUGCCCUGAGGUUUUUCCUGGCC
Molecule: small RNA, 1690 nt
Filed under: Pongo abelii (Sumatran orangutan)
Lineage: Eukaryota; Metazoa; Chordata; Mammalia; Primates; Hominidae
Description: retained intron
Source: RNAcentral